Athalia rosae (coleseed sawfly) is the source of this 1280-nucleotide RNA transcript. RefSeq lists it as uncharacterized. The transcript is spliced from 4 exons. The record is from RefSeq and is a predicted model, not a curated record. Lineage: Eukaryota; Metazoa; Arthropoda; Insecta; Hymenoptera; Athaliidae.
CUGUCUAGCGUCCAACAAAUAAAUAACCACAUUUAAUUCAAGUGAGAAUGUCAAAAAUAUCGGACAUAAUUUACACACAAGAGAAUAAAAAAAAUAAACCUUUGUGACUAUUGUACAAAAAAAUCUAACUACUACUCUCAGUGCGAACUAUACACUCCGAGGCAGCAAAUCCCACAUCGUUCUGUAAUUAUAACAAACCACACUGUCACAAGACAUGGUAGUGUAUUUGGAUAUGAUGAUGGAUUAAGAGAGCAUUAUCAGGCUGCAUCUUUUCUCCUACCACUAAGUUCGAUCUGUGUGCUUGGUGCCGUGGUUUUGUUAAUGGUAUUAUUCAAAAGAUGUCCACACGUGAUCGCUGGACUCGUAAUCGGGCUUUUAGGUUCUAUCAUUUUAUUCAUAAUUUACAUGUCAAUUAAUAACGCACCCAUUUAUACUUGACUCGACACAUGAAAUUUUACAAAAUUUACCUAUUUAGCUUUUGAAAAGCUUAACAGAAGAAAUACUGUAAAUAAAUGUUUCGACAUUGAUGCGCAAAGCAAAAUCUACAAUUCUUGUAGCAAUUGUAAAUCUGGAUAACUGAUGUGCUGGAAACAUUCAAAUAUACUCACAAUUCACACACUCAGCUGCACAGUUUCAUCGAAAUCAUGUCCUCUGAGACUCGUACAACCAUUUCGACGUAAUAAUCCAACAUUUCUUUGAGUUCUUCAUAGCUCUGAAGGAAGAAGAAAGCGAUUAUUUUCAAAAUUCUUUUAUGCAUCUUCGAAGUUGAAGUUCAUGUAUUGAAAGUUUACCUCUAUAUACUUCUCAUCCGUUUUACUGGCAUGCUCAAGUUCUAAUAACAGGAGUUCUAACGUAUUUAAAGGCAGCCACGUGGCAGGCGCUGUAGCUACCAGCGAUGUUUCUAGGCCAAAAUAUUCUUUUCCUCUUCCCAUAACAGCUCCAAUGUAUUCCAAAGCUAAAACAUUUGCCUCUAACAGGCGUCCAGCAUUUAAAAUAAGUCGCAGAAGUUCGGCGGGAUCACGUUUCUGAAAUUACAAUCGUUUGCAAAAUCUACGCCAAACUAUAUUGUAAUAACGCUAUCCUAGUGAAAAGUACUGCAUAUGGAAACUCACUUUGUAGGAGGACAUUAACCACUGCGGAAGAAAAGCGCCAUGAUGUAAUAGCUUUCUAGCAACCGCUUUGUGCAAUUCACUGCCAACUUUUUUCUCAUGUUUUAAUAUGAGAUGUUCCAACAGUUUCCAAGCAAUAUUCGUCACGUUUGAAUCUGAUACGCCUUCAUC